RNAcentral lists this long non-coding RNA (881 nucleotides) under Papio anubis (olive baboon). RNAcentral's name for it is "lncRNA (ENSPANG00000042186.1)". Lineage: Eukaryota; Metazoa; Chordata; Mammalia; Primates; Cercopithecidae. The record is from RNAcentral.
UCUCAGCUCCUCCCUCUCGCUGUUCGGGUCCUAGGCACAGGCUGGGCACCCCCCAACCCGCCCACCGCGGCCCUGGGCCCCCACCCCGACCCCGCCCCUCCUCCCAGCCGCCCCGGCCUGCUCUCACACCUGCCGCCAGCUCGGGUCCUGCUUUUGCACCGUAGAGAGACGGCGUCGAGAUCCUGGCCUAGGGUGGGCACCAGGUGCAAAGCCGAGGGAGCGCGCAAGAGAGGGCCGGCAGCCCCUCACCCCGGGGGAGGUGGGCGAUUCGGGACUGAAGUACAGACGUCCCUGGCCCGCCGGGCUGGGGGCGGGGAGGAGGGGGUGGAGCCGCCGGGGAGGGCGGUGCCGCGGGGAGCGGAGCCCAGCCUCUCCCCCCACCCGCUUUGGUGCCGGAGUCUCAGUGACAAAAAGCUCCCGCUUGGUGCCCAGCGCCUGGCGGCGGUGUCCGACCGCGAACGCAGAGGGCGGCCACGCAGGUGGGGGUGUAGCCCGAAGGGCCGGGCCGGGAGCUGGGGCUGCAGGCUCCGCCGCUGCGCUGUCAGCGCCUGCCCCGUGGCUCUCGGCUGGAGGAGCGGCGGCCGCCUGCCCGGGGCGCGCGUCUGGCUGAGCGGGGCUGGCGCGUCGGGACCACCUGGCGAUGCUGUCGCCGCCGCCGCCGCCUCUGUAGCGAGCGCCCAAGCCCGCCGCGGAGAAAGGCUGAAGAAAGCUCAGUCUCAAUUGUGUUUCCUGCCUGUCAGCCUCUUGCCUCCUAAACGCGUACCAUUUCCACUUGAUGUCAUCAUGCAGAAGGGGGUGAAAGAGACUCGGUGACAGAUUCAGGAGUUUGGAUGAAUGAAUGGAGGCUCGAACAAGCAAAGGAACAGACAAAUGAUUAACAC